AAGAGUUUAGUUUAGUCGGUAAAAUCCAGAAUUUCAAAUUCUGUGUGACGUGUUCAAAUCACGUAACUCUUG
Transfer RNA from Chrysochromulina sp., 72 nucleotides. It matches the Rfam family "tRNA". Rfam says of the family: Transfer RNA (tRNA) molecules are approximately 80 nucleotides in length. Lineage: Eukaryota; Haptophyta; Prymnesiales; Chrysochromulinaceae. The record is from Rfam.